This 168-nucleotide ribosomal RNA is filed under the name uncultured bacterium. Its description in RNAcentral is "partial 16S ribosomal RNA". It matches the Rfam family "Bacterial small subunit ribosomal RNA", at positions 1325 to 1500 of the family's 1533-position model. The record is from RNAcentral.
GCUGGAUUCGCUAGUAAUCGCGCAUCAGCCACGGCGCGGUGAAUACGUUCCCGGGCCUUGUACACACCGCCCGUCAAGCCAUGGAAGCCGGGAGUGCCUGAAGUGUGCAACCGCAAGGAGCGCCCUAAGGUAAAACCGGUGACUGGGGCUAAGUCGUAACAAGGUAGC